GCCCCAGUAGCUCAGUGGCAGAGCACCACUCUCGUAAAGUGGGGGUCGCAGGUUCAAAUCCUGUCUGGGGCU
This 72-nucleotide transfer RNA is filed under the name Candidatus Pacearchaeota archaeon. Its description in RNAcentral is "tRNA-Thr". It matches the Rfam family "tRNA". From Rfam's summary of the family: Transfer RNA (tRNA) molecules are approximately 80 nucleotides in length. Their secondary structure includes four short double-helical elements and three loops (D, anti-codon, and T loops). The record is from RNAcentral. Lineage: Archaea; Nanobdellati.